This 74-nucleotide transfer RNA is filed under the name Prevotellaceae bacterium. Its description in RNAcentral is "tRNA-Arg". It matches the Rfam family "tRNA". Rfam says of the family: Transfer RNA (tRNA) molecules are approximately 80 nucleotides in length. Their secondary structure includes four short double-helical elements and three loops (D, anti-codon, and T loops). The record is from RNAcentral. Lineage: Bacteria; Pseudomonadati; Bacteroidota; Bacteroidia; Bacteroidales; Prevotellaceae.
GGCUCUGUAGCUCAACUGUAUAGAGCAUCUGACUACGGAUCAGAAGGUUGUGGGUUAGAAUCCCGCCAGAGUCA